This 272-nucleotide long non-coding RNA is filed under the name Elaeis guineensis (African oil palm). RNAcentral describes it as "long non-coding RNA (EGUI_LNC065413)". The record is from RNAcentral. Lineage: Eukaryota; Viridiplantae; Streptophyta; Magnoliopsida; Arecales; Arecaceae.
UAAGGGGAUACGAAAUUUUUUCAUUAAAGAAGUUGUUAUCAGAGCAAGCUCUCUUUAGUGCUGGCAUCAGUUUGGCCGACCCCAAAGGUGAGAAUUUCUCUAAUCUUUUUGAUGCUUGCUCUUCUUAUUUUUACAGAUGUUGUCUUCUUCUUUAUUGUAGAAAUGAAGUCUGAAGAAGUGAAGAGGCUGAUGAGAGAUUCGUUGAAGAGGAAGGUGCCCUCUUCAUCUACCGAUGUUCAAAAAAAGCCCAAGGCUUCGAGCGAGAGUUACAA